This 253-nucleotide ribosomal RNA is filed under the name uncultured bacterium. RNAcentral's name for it is "partial 16S ribosomal RNA". It matches the Rfam family "Bacterial small subunit ribosomal RNA", at positions 524 to 776 of the family's 1533-position model. The record is from RNAcentral.
UACAGGGGGGGCAAGCGUUGUUCGGAAUUACUGGGCGUAAAGCGUGCGCAGGCGGUGAUGUAAGACAGAUGUGAAAUCCCCGGGCUCAACCUGGGACCUGCAUUUGUGACUGCAUUGCUGGAGUGCGGCAGAGGGGGAUGGAAUUCCGCGUGUAGCAGUGAAAUGCGUAGAUAUGCGGAGGAACACCGAUGGCGAAGGCAAUCCCCUGGGCCUGCACUGACGCUCAUGCACGAAAGCGUGGGGAGCAAACAGG